GGAAGUCUUCCACAAUGGGCGCAAGCCUGAUGGAGCAACACCGCGUGAGUGAAGAAGGGUUUCGGCUCGUAAAGCUCUGUUGUUAAAGAAGAACACGUAUGAGAGUAACUGUUCAUACGUUGACGGUAUUUAACCAGAAAGUCACGGCUAACUACGUGCCAG
This 162-nucleotide ribosomal RNA is filed under the name uncultured bacterium. RNAcentral's name for it is "partial 16S ribosomal RNA". It matches the Rfam family "Bacterial small subunit ribosomal RNA", at positions 357 to 511 of the family's 1533-position model. The record is from RNAcentral.